This 482-nucleotide ribosomal RNA is filed under the name uncultured bacterium. Its description in RNAcentral is "partial 16S ribosomal RNA". It matches the Rfam family "Bacterial small subunit ribosomal RNA", at positions 29 to 506 of the family's 1533-position model. The record is from RNAcentral.
GUGAACGCUGGCGGCAGGCCUAACCCAUGCCAGUCGCGCGGCAGCGCGGGGGCAACCCUGGCGGCGAGCGGCGGACGGGUGAGGAAUUCGUCGGAAUCUGCCUUUUUGUGGGGGAUAACGUAGGGAAACUUACGCUAAUACCGCAUACGUCCUACGGGAGAAAGUGGGGGACCGCAAGGCCUCACGCAGAAAGAUGAGCCGACGACCGAUUAGCUAGUUGGUGGGGUAAAGGCCCACCAAGGCGACGAUCGGUAGCUGGUCUGAGAGGAUGAUCAGCCACACUGGGACUGAGACACGGCCCAGACUCCUACGGGAGGCAGCAGUGGGGAAUAUUGGACAAUGGGCGCAAGCCUGAUCCAGCCAUGCCGCGUGUGUGAAGAAGGCCUUCGGGUUGUAAAGCACUUUUGUCCGGAAAGAAAUCCCUGGAGCUAAUACCUUCGGGGGAUGACGGUACCGGAAGAAUAAGCACCGGCUAACUUCGU